Molecule: ribosomal RNA, 253 nt
Filed under: uncultured bacterium
Lineage: Bacteria
Description: partial 16S ribosomal RNA
Rfam family: Bacterial small subunit ribosomal RNA
Source: RNAcentral
UACGGAGGGUGCGAGCGUUGUCCGGAAUUACUGGGCGUAAAGAGCUCGUAGGUGGUUUGUCGCGUUGUUCGUGAAAACUCACAGCUCAACUGUGGGCGUGCGGGCGAUACGGGCAGACUAGAGUACUGCAGGGGAGACUGGAAUUCCUGGUGUAGCGGUGGAAUGCGCAGAUAUCAGGAGGAACACCGGUGGCGAAGGCGGGUCUCUGGGCAGUAACUGACGCUGAGGAGCGAAAGCGUGGGGAGCGAACAGG